GGAGUCUAGCAUGUACGCAAGUCAUUGGGACUUGAUAAACCUAAAGGCGAAAUGAAAGUAAAUGCGCGCCUUGUGCACGCACAGGGAAGAUGAGUGACGCACGUCGUCGCUCCGCAUUCCCGGGGCGUCUCAUUCUCAUUGCGAGAAGAGGCGCACCUAGAGCGUACACGCUGGGACCCGAAAGAUGGUGAACUAUGCCUGGUCAGGACGAAGUCAGGGGAAACCCUGAUGGAGGUCCGUAGCGAUUCUGACGUGCAAAUCGAUCGUCGGAACUGGGUAUAGGGGCGAAAGACUAAUCGAACCAUCUAGUAGCUGGUUCCCUCCGAAGUUUCCCUCAGGAUAGCUGGCGCUCGCUUUGCGAGUCUCAUCCGGUAAAGCGAAUGAUUAGAGGCAUUGGGGUCGAAACGGCCUCAACCUAUUCUCAAACUUUAAAUGGGUGAGAUCUCCGGCUUGCUUAAAUAGUGAAGCCGCGAGAUCGGAUCAGAGUGCCAAGUGGGCCAUUUUUGGUAAGCAGAACUGGCGCUGUGGGAUGAACCAAACGCAGAGUUAAAGCGCCUAAAUCGACGCUUAUGGGAUACCAUGAAAGGCGUUGGUAACUUAAGACAGCAGGACGGUGGCCAUGGAA
This 625-nucleotide ribosomal RNA is filed under the name Drilonius sp. UPOL 001274. RNAcentral describes it as "eukaryotic LSU rRNA". It matches the Rfam family "Eukaryotic large subunit ribosomal RNA", at positions 670 to 1259 of the family's 3401-position model. Lineage: Eukaryota; Metazoa; Arthropoda; Insecta; Coleoptera; Omethidae. The record is from RNAcentral.